UCGAGAAUUUUUCUCAAUGGGCGAAAGCCUGAAGGAGCGACGCCGCGUGGGGGAUGAAUGGCUUCGGCCCGUAAACCCCUGUCAUUUGCGAACAAAUUGACUCACUUAACACGUGUGUCAUUGAUUGUAGCGGAAGAGGAAGGGACGGCUAACUCUGUGCCAGCAGCCGCGGUAAUACAGAGGUCCCAAGCGUUGUUCGGAUUUACUGGGCGUAAAGGGUGCGUAGGCGGUUGUUUAAGUCUGACGUGAAAUCUCCGGGCCUAACCCGGAAACUGCGUUGGAUACUAUUCAACUAGAGGAAUGGAGGGGAGACUGGAAUACUUGGUGUAGCAGUGAAAUGCGUAGAUAUCAAGUGGAACACCAGUGGCGAAGGCGAGUCUCUGGACAUUUCCUGACGCUGAGGCACGAAAGCCAGGGGAGCAAACGGGAUUAGAUACCCGGGUAGUCC
RNAcentral lists this ribosomal RNA (448 nucleotides) under uncultured bacterium. Its description in RNAcentral is "bacterial SSU rRNA". It matches the Rfam family "Bacterial small subunit ribosomal RNA", at positions 355 to 796 of the family's 1533-position model. The record is from RNAcentral.